CAGCCGUAAACAAUGUGCGUUAGGUGUGUCGGUAACCACGUGUUACUGAUGCGCCGAAGAGAAAUCGUGAAACGCACCACCUGGGAAGUACGGUCGCAAGGCUGAAACUUAAAGGAAUUGGCGGGGGAGCACCACAACAGGUGGAGCCUGCGGUUUAAUUGGAUUCAACGCCGGACAUCUCACCGGAUAAGACAGCUGAAUGAUUGUCAAUCUGAAGGUUUUACAUGACUAGCUGAGAGGAGGUGCAUGGCGUCGAGUGACU
This 262-nucleotide ribosomal RNA is filed under the name uncultured archaeon. RNAcentral's name for it is "partial 16S ribosomal RNA". It matches the Rfam family "Archaeal small subunit ribosomal RNA", at positions 748 to 1010 of the family's 1478-position model. The record is from RNAcentral.